AGAUAGCUAGGCAACCGCGUGCCGCGUAAGCGGCCCGAGGAACGUCCGGGCUCCAUAGAGCAGGGUAGUGGGUAACACCCACCCGGGGUAACCCGCGGGAAAGUGCCACAGAAAACAGACCGCCCACCUAGGUGGGUAAGGGUGAAAAGGUGGUGUAAGAGACCACCAGUGCCCUAGGUGACUAGGGCAGCUAGGUAAACCCCACCCGGAGCAAGGCCAGACAGGACGCGUUGAAGCUGCUCGCUGAGCGUUCGGGUAGGCUGCUUGAGCCCCUGGGUAACCAUGGGCCUAGAUGGAUGGUUGCCAGCUUGGAUCGAGUAAUCGCCCAAGCCACAAAACCCGGCGUAUCGGCUAUCUCAU
Molecule: RNase P RNA, 360 nt
Filed under: Timonella senegalensis
Lineage: Bacteria; Bacillati; Actinomycetota; Actinomycetes; Micrococcales
Description: Bacterial RNase P class A
Rfam family: Bacterial RNase P class A
About the family: Ribonuclease P (RNase P) is a ubiquitous endoribonuclease, found in archaea, bacteria and eukarya as well as chloroplasts and mitochondria.
Source: RNAcentral